Long non-coding RNA from Dalotia coriaria, 716 nucleotides. RefSeq lists it as uncharacterized. The record is from RefSeq and is a predicted model, not a curated record. The transcript has 2 exons. Lineage: Eukaryota; Metazoa; Arthropoda; Insecta; Coleoptera; Staphylinidae.
UAUUAACACUAAUUAUAUUCAUAUUCGGCUAAUGAGACUGAUUAUUAUUUGAAAGUCACUUUUUUGACACAAUAGACACAUUUAAGAGUAGACUAAGCGAAUGUCACUGUUGAAUGUCACCAAGAUCUACAACAGCAAUAAAUAAAAGCAUCAGUUAAACGUUGGAAAGUUAGAUCACAUAAAUCCAACGCGGAAUGCGAGUGCCAUGAUGGAAGCAAUUGAAGUUGUUUCAGAUGCAAUGAAAGUUGGGUUUUUAUUAUACUUGGCUGCUUGUUGCUCUCAGCCUAGUAUUGCUUACGCAUCGCAUCUAAAGCAGAAUCAUUAGACCGAAUUUUAUGUUCUUGUAAUGGGCACCCGGUUGAAUAGAAAGAAGCUGCAACCGCGCCCGUUACCCACUUAUUAUUUGUUAUUAGUUACGCUGCUGUGGUAUCGAGAGACUCAAAUGAUUCAAUGCCCUCGUCUUCUCGUUCUAAUGAUGGCGGCCAUAAAUAUAAAGGAAAUUACAUCACGUAUCGUUUACCGACAAAGUUGACAACCGCAAAACAAUAAGAAAAUAAACUUCCAAUGGAAUUAAACUAAUCGCUGGUAGACAAACACUGUGCCUAGUUUUUUUUAAUAUGGUAUGGAAAUUGUUACAAGUACACUUUGAGUUUAACAAAUGCAUGUAAGCACAAGACGUCCAUACUUUACUAUCCAAAUAUAAAUAAGUAAAUUGC